GCAGAUAAGGCCAAACCCACCGCGAGGUGGGGACGGAAAGCCACGGGUCUCAGAUAAGCCGAGAUAGCCGGGUUGCCCAAC
This 81-nucleotide non-coding RNA is filed under the name Deltaproteobacteria bacterium. RNAcentral describes it as "c-di-GMP sequence". It matches the Rfam family "c-di-GMP-I-GGC riboswitch aptamer". The record is from RNAcentral. Lineage: Bacteria; Pseudomonadati; Myxococcota; Myxococcia.